AGUGAAGAAAAAGGUUUCCACAACCAUUUAAUGCCUCCCCUCCUAAACCUUAUAAUUUUCAGUAUCAAUAUGUUUUUUUUAAACUACAUUUACAACUUUUUAAGACUCUACCUUCAAUCGAUUCAAUCUACGAUUCCAGGCUGCCCCAUGUUCCACGUCGAAGUGUCCCUGAGCAAGACACCUAACCCCUAAUUGCUCCCGGGGCAAAAAUAUGAAAAAGCCAUGGGUUUAAAGUGUAAUGUAAGUCGCUUUGGAUAAAAGCGUCUGCUAAAUGACCUGUAAUGUAAUGUAAUGUAAUCGAAUGUUUCCAUUUGUUUUUAAUUUGUAAUUUAAUUUAAUUAUAAAAAACAACAUUUAAGUCUCCCAACUUUCCGUUGUGGUUUCUUUAAGUGUUUAUUAUCUAUUUGUCCUCCGGGUCUAACGGCGUCUGCUUCACUGGGUGUUUACCGGGGGGCGGAGAGACCCUCGAGCACGGCCGGGAAUCAAUCCCCCUUCCUCCUCCUCCUCCUCCUCCUCCUCCCGGCCUUCUGGACAACGUACGGCGAUUCUGCCAGAGAAGAAGAGCAAGAAGCAGAAGCUCUCAGAUCAGUGAGCUUCCCUCCGGAGUCUUUUAUCAGCCGGCUUCCUGUCAUUACUCCGUCAGGUGUCAGCUCUGGAGUCUGGGAAGGAUCCAUGGCCCCUCAUUUCAGAGGCGUAGGGGCGUUUUUUGGGUGGAGAUGGGGGGGUCUGUUUGGGGUUUGGGACGCGUCUAUAAUUGAUGGUUCGGAAGUUUUAAGGGGGACGAUGAGAGGAGUUUAAUAAAGUUCCACAAGUGAGUCUCUUACUGUUCAACGUGGAAAUGCAACAAUUGCCUCAUUCGGGGGCGGAGGGGUCACACAGGCGGCCAUGUUGAAACACAAACAAUGUGUCAUGUUGUGUUUGUUGUUUCAUUAUCAUGAUUAAGCUGUACUAUGAUUCUGUGCCAGCUUUUUGCUAAUGUUUAAACUAGUAUAAUACUAGUGUGAACUACCCACAGCUUUCAUGCUGAUUGCAUGAAUUAUAAAUAAUUCCUUUCGUCCCGUAAUUUUGGAGGACCAAAUUCAAUGGGAACUAUCAAAAUAAUGUUAACAUUUAAUAUUUGGUGAGUGAUGAUUUGCAGUCACUAACUUUUACAAGUGGAAGACCAACAGCUAUUAUCAGAUUCGGGCACUUAACGCUCUGACAGGCCGGCACAUUUCAUAUUUAACAGUGUUUUCAUUUGAACAGGAGGUCAUGUGACUGACCUGGCCAGUACAGUACGUUCAGUACCUGAAGCUCCGUGUUCGCUUUGUAUUUAGAAUAAUAAACGCCAAGACUCAACCGACGGGGACGUGAGCGUCUCUUUCAACAAAACAUUCAAUCAUUCAUAUAAACGACAUUUAAAGGUGUAAUAUUUAGACAGCGGCCGGUUAGGCACAAGUAAUUGAUCACGUAUUCUCGUCGAGGGGUCCGGUUGUCCGUCCUCCCGAGGGACGGACCGGUUUUGGACUCGGGGGAUGUCAGGUUGAGACGUAGGGCGGUUAAACAAGCGGGACCCGUCCCAGGAAGCCGAUGUUGGGACAGUGUUGGGACGGUGUUAGGGACGGUGUUAGGGACGGUGUUAGGGACAGUGUUAGGGACGGUGUUAGGGACGGUGUUAGGGACAGUGUUAGGGACGGUGUUAGGGACGGUGUUAGGGACAGUGUUGGGACGGUGUUAGGGACGGUGUUAGGGACGGUGUUAGGGACAGUGUUGGGACGGUGUUGGGGCGAUGUUAGGGACGGUUGUUGGGACGGUGUUAGGGACGGUGUUAGGGACGGUGUUAGGGACAGUGUUGGGACGGUGUUGGGGCGAUUGUUGGGACGAUGCCGGACGCAUCGACUGACGGCCUUUCACGUGUGUACUUGUGAUUAAAACGUUAACAUCUUGGGAUAGUGUCCAACUGUGAGUGUCCCCCCCCCCCUGUCCGUCCACCGCUAAUCACAUAACAAUAACUUGUUUGGUACCACUGCAAGCUCAAAGUCCUCCAGAGGUUGGGGUGACUUAGACUUUCCCAAAUCUCCUUUUGUUGUUUGCUCACUUUUGGCGUUUUGGACGGGACACACACACACACACACACACACACACACACACACACACACACACGGUGUUAGGCAAGACAUUGCAGCUUGUUUCUUUAGUUUGGUUUUAAAAAUAAAACUCCUUCCUGCCUUUGGUGUCUAGACGGGGGAUUUGCCAAUAGCGGGUUCCCAGACUACAGCAGUGCUCACAGACACACCUAUGGGAGAUCUGCACUGAGGGAUCCUUAGUGAUGAGCGGCAUGUGCUGCUAUGUUUUAUUUAAUGUUUGCUUGUGCACAUUUGGUUGCAUGAAGUAAAUAAUGUUUUAAAUUCAGAGCACAGAAUGUGCCGGUACAAACCGCUGAUUACUGACGGAGCGCGCUGAGAAAACGGACACCUGGAGCGCGUUAUGGUGGUAAUCACGUGUGGCCGAGGUAAAUAUCAGGUAGAGAGCGCCGGCGAAACGUCCUUGAUAACAUUUUACAACGUGCCCUUUGGUCCCUUCACCCACAACGCAAUUCCACAGGAAGCUUUAACCGCACAUUCCUGAAAUAGCCUUUCAGAUGGCUGCUUCUAAAAGUGGUGAAAAGGCCGGAGGGAGAACCGGAUGAAGAGCAGCCGCCACCGAGCCAGUGUGAAGAGUGCAGCUUCUCUCCACACAUCUCGGGGUCGCGGGUGCUGGUCACGAGGCCUCCAGGAUCAGCUGCUUUUGAACGCCGGGGGGGGUAAAGCCUCAGCCCAUGAGCUGCGGUACAGGGAGCCCCAGCCGGGCCCCCGAGGAUCGACAGCAGGCAGACGAAUCUUU
This is a long non-coding RNA of Gasterosteus aculeatus aculeatus (three-spined stickleback), 2862 nucleotides long. The record is from Ensembl. NCBI's taxonomy places the organism in Eukaryota, Metazoa, Chordata, Actinopteri, Perciformes, Gasterosteidae.